RNAcentral lists this ribosomal RNA (496 nucleotides) under uncultured bacterium. RNAcentral describes it as "partial 16S ribosomal RNA". It matches the Rfam family "Bacterial small subunit ribosomal RNA", at positions 29 to 507 of the family's 1533-position model. The record is from RNAcentral.
AUGCACGCUGGCGGCGUGCCUAAUACAUGCAAGUCGAGCGAACGGACGAGAAGCUUGCUUCUCUGAUGUUAUCGGCGGACGGGUGAGUAACACGUGGAUAACCUACCUAUAAGACUGGGAUAACUUCGGGAAACCGGAGCUAAUACCGGAUAAUAUUUUGAACCGCAUGGUUCAAAAGUGAAAGACGGUCUUGCUGUCACUUAUAGAUGGAUCCGCGCUGCAUUAGCUAGUUGGUAAGGUAACGGCUUACCAAGGCAACGAUGCAUAGCCGACCUGAGAGGGUGAUCGGCCACACUGGAACUGAGACACGGUCCAGACUCCUACGGGAGGCAGCAGUAGGGAAUCUUCCGCAAUGGGCGAAAGCCUGACGGAGCAACGCCGCGUGAGUGAUGAAGGUCUUCGGAUCGUAAAACUCUGUUAUUAGGGAAGAACAUAUGUGUAAGUAACUGUGCACAUCUUGACGGUACCUAAUCAGAAAGCCACGGCUAACUACGUG